Molecule: long non-coding RNA, 1181 nt
Filed under: Anas platyrhynchos platyrhynchos (common mallard)
Lineage: Eukaryota; Metazoa; Chordata; Aves; Anseriformes; Anatidae
Description: lncRNA (ENSAPLG00000024282.1)
Source: RNAcentral
UGCACUAUUGGUUAGUUGAUGCAGCUUUGGCUAAAAUAAACCAAUACAUAUAGUUCUGGCUAGUGGUAGCUAUAUGAAUAAAUGUAACUACCCAUGGCUGUGGUGCAGAAUCAAGCUACUAUAGAAGCAAAGCAUGCUUUUCAAUAGCCAUGCAUGACGAAAUAGUUAUAAAUGCAUGACUAUACGGUGUAGACAGGGGCUGAUGUAUCACUCAUUUGUACAUUUGUAAUUAAUUGUAAGAACAAGGUUGUUCUUUGCAUGUGUUCUUUCUUUGCUGCCAAGCAUGACAGAGAUAUAACAAUCUUAUAACUUAAGCUCAUAAUAAAAUAUUGUUGGUAACCUAGCAAAGAAAUUUCUUAAUUAAGUUUGCUAUACAAAAUCCCAUAAUGCUUUCUUAUAUGUAUGGGCGUUGUGUGUUUGUGUUUUUUGUUUUUUAUUUUUCCUUUUUUUCUGGAACUCCUAAAUGACUUUUACAUUUGAAUAUUAUCAGAAACAAAAUUUCUGAUGUUUAAGAAACAUUUCUGCAUAUUUUUUCCAUCUGGCUAUAAUAGAGCAUAAUUUAAGGCUAUGGGCAGAGGAGGGGGUAAAUGAUGCAUGUAAUGAUUGUUUUAACAUUUACAAGAAAAUAAUUUAUUUAAAUUGGAUUAAGCCUUAAUAUUAUCACACUUUUCUACCUGAUUUAACAUGGAGGGAGAGGGUGGAAGAAGGGGGAGAUGGUGAUUUCAUGGUAAAGUGUUUUAAGUAUUUACUAUUUUCUUUUCUUUUUGAUCUUCCAGGCAUUCUGCCCCACAGCCAUGUAAAUUUUCCUCCAUCUGAAUGUUCACUGCCGUCUUUUAGAUUCCUCUGCUGACAGUGAAGAGGUCACGCUAAAUCAAACUGACAGAGAAACUGGACAUCAACUUUACCCAGGAUGCCCAAAUUAAUUCUACCGAAACAAAAGGGUCAACCUCACUUUGGCUGGCUUGUCUUCUUGAUUUCUUCGUUGGUGGUGCUAAAGAGAGUUGACGAGAUGGGAAGAAAGUGGCAGGGAUUGCUGAGUCUGAACAUCACUUCUGCUAAGCUUGGAGCAGCACUGAAGCUAUUUUAAACAAGGUGAGGAAAUAUCAUGCCUUUUUUAUUAUUAUUUAUUUUUUAUGGUAAAAUAGCCUGUCUGAGGUAUUGAAGUGUGAAAUUCAGACCCC